GGCGGCGUGCUUAACACAUGCAAGUCGAACGAUGAAGCCCUUCGGGGUGGAUUAGUGGCGAACGGGUGAGUAACACGUGGGCAAUCUGCCCUUCACUCUGGGACAAGCCCUGGAAACGGGGUCUAAUACCGGAUAUGAGCCUGGCAGGCAUCUCCCGGGUUGUAAAGCUCCGGCGGUGAAGGAUGAGCCCGCGGCCUAUCAGCUUGUUGGUGAGGUAAUGGCUCACCAAGGCGACGACGGGUAGCCGGCCUGAGAGGGCGACCGGCCACACUGGGACUGAGACACGGCCCAGACUCCUACGGGAGGCAGCAGUGGGGAAUAUUGCACAAUGGGCGAAAGCCUGAUGCAGCGACGCCGCGUGAGGGAUGACGGCCUUCGGGUUGUAAACCUCUUUCAGCAGGGAAGAAGCGAAAGUGACGGUACCUGCAGAAGAAGCGCCGGCUAACUACGUGCCAGCAGCCGCGGUAAUACGUAGGGCGCAAGCGUUGUCCGGAAUUAUUGGGCGUAAAGAGCUCGUAGGCGGCUUGUCACGUCGAUUGUGAAAGCCCGAGGCUUAACCUCGGGUCUGCAGUCGAUACGGGCUAGCUAGAGUGUGGUAGGGGAGAUCGGAAUUCCUGGUGUAGCGGUGAAAUGCGCAGAUAUCAGGAGGAACACCGGUGGCGAAGGCGGAUCUCUGGGCCAUUACUGACGCUGAGGAGCGAAAGCGUGGGGAGCGAACAGGAUUAGAUACCCUGGUAGUCCACGCCGUAAACGGUGGGCACUAGGUGUUGGCGACAUUCCACGUCGUCGGUGCCGCAGCUAACGCAUUAAGUGCCCCGCCUGGGGAGUACGGCCGC
This 836-nucleotide ribosomal RNA is filed under the name Streptomyces sp. IM-7357. RNAcentral describes it as "bacterial SSU rRNA". It matches the Rfam family "Bacterial small subunit ribosomal RNA", at positions 38 to 889 of the family's 1533-position model. The record is from RNAcentral. Lineage: Bacteria; Bacillati; Actinomycetota; Actinomycetes; Kitasatosporales; Streptomycetaceae.